This 345-nucleotide unclassified non-coding RNA is filed under the name soil metagenome. RNAcentral's name for it is "partial contains 5.8S ribosomal RNA, internal transcribed spacer 2, and large subunit ribosomal RNA". The stretch from base 1 to 120 matches the Rfam family "5.8S ribosomal RNA", at positions 35 to 154 of the family's 154-position model. The record is from RNAcentral.
GAUGAAGAACGUAGUGAAAUGCGAUAAUUAAUGUGAAUUGCAGAAUUCAGUGAAUCAUCGAGUCUUUGAACGUACAUUGCGCCCCCUGGUAUUCCGGGGGGCAUGCCUGUCCGAGCGUCAUUGCUGCCCUCAAGCACGGCUUGUGUGUUGGGCUUCCGUCCCUGGCAACGGGGACGGGCCCAAAAGGCAGUGGCGGCACCAUGUCUGGUCCUCGAGCGUAUGGGGCUUUGUCACCCGCUCCCGUAGGUCCAGCUGGCAGCUAGCCUCGCAACCAAUCUUUUUAACCAGGUUGACCUCGGAUCAGGUAGGGAUACCCGCUGAACUUAAGCAUAUCAUAAGGGAGGA